GUGGGGAAUCUUGCGCAAUGGGCGAAAGCCUGACGCAGCCAUGCCGCGUGAAUGAUGAAGGUCUUAGGAUUGUAAAAUUCUUUCACCGGGGACGAUAAUGACGGUACCCGGGGAAGAAGCCCCGGCUAACUUCGUGCCAGCAGCCGCGGUAAUACGAAGGGGGCUAGCGUUGCUCGGAAUUACUGGGCGUAAAGGGCGCGUAGGCGGACAGUUUAGUCAGAGGUGAAAGCCCAGGGCUCAACCUUGGAAUUGCCUUUGAUACUGGCUGUCUUGAGUACGGGAGAGGUGAGUGGAACUCCGAGUGUAGAGGUGAAAUUCGUAGAUAUUCGGAAGAACACCAGUGGCGAAGGCGACUCACUGGCCCGUUACUGACGCUGAGGCGCGAAAGCGUGGGGAGCAAACAGGAUUAGAAACCCUAGUAGUCC
This 425-nucleotide ribosomal RNA is filed under the name uncultured bacterium. RNAcentral describes it as "partial 16S ribosomal RNA". It matches the Rfam family "Bacterial small subunit ribosomal RNA", at positions 354 to 796 of the family's 1533-position model. The record is from RNAcentral.